AUUGAACGCUGGCGGCAGGCCUAACACAUGCAAGUCGAACGAGCGGCGGACGGGUGAGUAAUGUAUGGGGAACUGCCUGAUGGAGGGGGAUAACUACUGGAAACGGUAGCUAAUACCGCAUACCAUCAGAUGUGCCCAUAUGGGAUUAGCUUGUUGGUGGGGUAACGGCUCACCUAGGCGACGAUCCCUAGCUGGUCUGAGAGGAUGACCAGCCACACUGGGACUGAGACACGGCCCAGACUCCUACGGGAGGCAGCAGUGGGGAAUAUUGCACAAUGGGCGCAAGCCUGAUGCAGCCAUGCCGCGUGUAUGAAGAAGGCCUUCGGGUUGUAAAGUACUUUCAGCGGGGAGGCGUUACCCGCAGAAGAAGCACCGGCUAACUCCGUGCCAGCAGCCGCGGUAAUAC
Molecule: ribosomal RNA, 406 nt
Filed under: uncultured bacterium
Lineage: Bacteria
Description: partial 16S ribosomal RNA
Rfam family: Bacterial small subunit ribosomal RNA
Source: RNAcentral